Molecule: ribosomal RNA, 495 nt
Filed under: uncultured bacterium
Lineage: Bacteria
Description: partial 16S ribosomal RNA
Rfam family: Bacterial small subunit ribosomal RNA
Source: RNAcentral
GAUGAACGCUGGCGGCGUGCCUAAUACAUGCAAGUAGAACGCUGAAGGAGGAGCUUGCUCUUCUGGAUGAGUUGCGAACGGGUGAGUAACGCGUAGGUAACCUGCCUGGUAGCGGGGGAUAACUAUUGGAAACGAUAGCUAAUACCGCAUGACAACAGUUAUUGCAUGAUAACUGUUUAAAAGGGGCAACUGCUCCACUACCAGAUGGACCUGCGUUGUAUUAGCUAGUUGGUGAGGUAACGGCUCACCAAGGCGACGAUACAUAGCCGACCUGAGAGGGGGAUCGGCCACACUGGGACUGAGACACGGCCCAGACUCCUACGGGAGGCAGCAGUAGGGAAUCGUCGGCAAUGGACGGAAGGCUGACCGAGCAACGCCGCGUGAGUGAAGAAGGUUGUCGGAUCGUAAAGCUCUGUUGUAAGAGAAGAACGAGUGUGAGAGUGGAAAGUUCACACUGUGACGGUAUCUGACCAGAAAGGGACGGCUAACUACGUG